GAUGAACGCUGGCGGCGUGCCUAAUACAUGCAAGUCGAGCGAACGGACGAGAAGCUUGCUUCUCUGAUGUUAGCGGCGGACGGGUGAGUAACACGUGGAUAACCUACCUAUAAGACUGGGAUAACUUCGGGAAACCGGAGCUAAUACCGGAUAAUAUUUUGAACCGCAUGGUUCAAAAGUGAAGGACGGUCUUGCUGUCACUUAUAGAUGGAUCCGCGCUGCAUUAGCUAGUUGGUAAGGUAACGGCUUACCAAGGCAACGAUGCAUAGCCUACCUGAGAGGGUGAUCGGCCACACUGGAACUGAGACACGGUCCAGACUCCUACGGGAGGCAGCAGUAGGGAAUCUUCCGCAAUGGGCGAAAGCCUGACGGAGCAACGCCGCGUGAGUGACGAAGGUCUUCGGAUCGUAAAACUCUGUUAUUAGGGAAGAACAUAUGUGUAAGUAACUGUGCACAUCUUGACGGUACCUAAUCAGAAAGCCACGGCUAACUACGUG
Molecule: ribosomal RNA, 497 nt
Filed under: uncultured bacterium
Lineage: Bacteria
Description: partial 16S ribosomal RNA
Rfam family: Bacterial small subunit ribosomal RNA
Source: RNAcentral